CCCCUUUCAAGAUUGCACCUGGAGAGUUUCCAGUACACUACCAGUCUUGGCUACAGGAGAGAGAGUCAAGCAGAGGCAUACCCAUUCCAUUCCUAGCUUGGGCAGUGCCUAGGGAAUGGAAGGCAAUCUGCUACAAGU
This 138-nucleotide small nucleolar RNA is filed under the name Ornithorhynchus anatinus (platypus). The record is from RNAcentral. Lineage: Eukaryota; Metazoa; Chordata; Mammalia; Monotremata; Ornithorhynchidae.